AACAUUGAUAUGACAUCAUAACAUUGAUAUGACGUCAUAACAUUGAUAUGACGUCAUAACAUUGAUAUGACGUCAUAACAUUGAU
Paramuricea clavata is the source of this 85-nucleotide non-coding RNA. The record is from the annotation of a GenBank genome assembly. NCBI's taxonomy places the organism in Eukaryota, Metazoa, Cnidaria, Anthozoa, Malacalcyonacea, Plexauridae.